Molecule: ribosomal RNA, 547 nt
Filed under: uncultured bacterium
Lineage: Bacteria
Description: bacterial SSU rRNA
Rfam family: Bacterial small subunit ribosomal RNA
Source: RNAcentral
UAGGGAAUUUUUCACAAUGAGCGAAAGCUUGAUGGAGCAAUGCCGCGUGAACGAUGAAGGUCUUUAAGAUUGUAAAGUUCUUUUAUUUGGGAAGAAUGACUUUAGCAGGUAAUGGCUAGAGUUUGACUGUACCAUUUUGAAUAAGUGACGACUAACUAUGCGCCAGCAGUCGCGGUAAUACAUAGGUCGCAAGCGUUAUCCGGAUUUAUUGGGCGUAAAGCAAGCGCAGGCGGAUUGAAAAGUCUGGUGUUAAAGGCAGCUGCUUAACAGUUGUAUGCAUUGGAAACUAUUAAUCUAGAGUGUGGUAGGGAGUUUUGGAAUUUCAUGUGGAGCGGUGAAAUGCGUAGAUAUAUGAAGGAACACCAGUGGCGAAGGCGAAAACUUAGGCCAUUACUGACGCUUAGGCUUGAAAGUGUGGGGAGCAAAUAGGAUUAGAUACCCUAGUAGUCCACACCGUAAACGAUAGAUACUAGCUGUCGGGGCGAUCCCCUCGGUAGCGAAGUUAACACAUUAAGUAUCUCGCCUGGGUAGUACAUUCGCAGGAAUG